RNAcentral lists this ribosomal RNA (499 nucleotides) under uncultured bacterium. RNAcentral describes it as "partial 16S ribosomal RNA". It matches the Rfam family "Bacterial small subunit ribosomal RNA", at positions 29 to 523 of the family's 1533-position model. The record is from RNAcentral.
AUUGAACGCUGGCGGCAUGCCUUACACAUGCAAGUCGAACGACGCCAGGGGGCAACUCCUGGCGAGUGGCAAACGGGUGAGUAAUACAUCGGAACGUGUCCCGUCGUGGGGGACAACCAGUCGAAAGACUGGCUAAUACCGCAUGAGAUCGAAAGAUGAAAGCGGGGGAUCCGCAAGGACCUCGCGCGAUGGUAGCGGCCGAUGUCGGAUUAGCUUGUUGGCGGGGUAACGGCCCACCAAGGCGACGAUCCGUAGCUGGUUUGAGAGAACGACCAGCCACACUGGGACUGAGACACGGCCCAGACUCCUACGGGAGGCAGCAGUGGGGAAUUUUGGACAAUGGGGGCAACCCUGAUCCAGCCAUGCCGCGUGUGUGAAGAAGGCCUUCGGGUUGUAAAGCACUUUCGGACGGAACGAAAUCGCGCGGGUGAAUAUCCCGCGUGGAUGACGGUACCGUAAGAAGAAGCACCGGCUAACUACGUGCCAGCCGCCGCCGUAA